UACGUAGGGUGCAAGCGUUAAUCGGAAUUACUGGGCGUAAAGCGUGCGCAGGCGGUGAUGUAAGACAGAUGUGAAAUCCCCGGGCUCAACCUGGGAACUGCAUUUGUGACUGCAUCGCUGGAGUGCGGCAGAGGGGGAUGGAAUUCCGCGUGUAGCAGUGAAAUGCGUAGAUAUCUGGAGGAACACCGGUGGCGAAGGCGGCAUCCUGGACCGACAUUGACGCUGAUGAGCGAAAGCCAGGGGAGCAAACGGG
RNAcentral lists this ribosomal RNA (253 nucleotides) under uncultured bacterium. RNAcentral's name for it is "partial 16S ribosomal RNA". It matches the Rfam family "Bacterial small subunit ribosomal RNA", at positions 524 to 776 of the family's 1533-position model. The record is from RNAcentral.